CCGCUAGAGCUGGAGGGAAUGUACAGUCACCAAGGUGAAGGCAGCAAUUUACGGGGCAGCCUCUCCUCCUCGCGCCUGGUGAUCCAGCAGCCUCCACGUCCGGUUGCUUAAUUGGGAAAGAAAGGGAAGGUUUUGAGCAACUCGUUUCUAUUCCUGAAGCAGCCCUCAUUUUCCUUUACCACUUCCCCUCCUCUGUCCAUCGAGGAAGCUCAGGAGAGAAGCAAGUGCCAUAGACGUUUCUGUCAUCGCAAAGCUGAUGGUUUAUAUAAUCUUGGGCUCUCCUGUGCGAGAGCACGUGGAGGCUGGACACCCGCUUGCUCACCCCUCGGGGUUGUUGUGAGCCAGGAUGUGUGCGGACAGUUUGGCGAUCGGCUCUGAGAUGUCCAGCUUCCCAGGCCUGUUUGUCUCUGACCCUGUUCUGCAGACCGAAGAGAAAGGUGUGGGGAAGCAGGGGUGCGGGAGAGAGCACUGAGCACGGGUGUGGUCCCAGCUGAGACGGUCAGCCUGAUCCCCACCGGAGCCCGGGAGCAGGACACGUGCCACAGCGCCGGCCCCACCAUGAGGUGUGGGUGUUUGUCAAGGGCCACUGUUGGGAGGCACAGAGGCCAUCCUGAGAGCUGCUGCUUUGUCCAGAAAGGGGACCUCUGGGGCCAUUGGCCGCCAACGGCUUCAAGAGCUAGGCGUCUGCACCCAGGGCACUGAUGGGUCCAGCUGGGCACCAACGGCAUCUCCUGUGCCCCUGGAUGAGUUGUCACCACAACACACAACCUAAACGUGAAUUUCGUACAGUUUACAGUAAUACUGAGUGCAGUGUAUCAUAAUCCUUGUGCCAAAAAAUAAUUCACAGUGAGGGGAAAGACGACACCAUUUUUCCUGUUUGCUCAUCGCUCCUUGAUUGAAAUCCGUUAAUAAACUAUGGAGAGGAGAGUGCGGGACCGUAUCUGGCUCCUUCCAUACC
Long non-coding RNA from Felis catus (domestic cat), 958 nucleotides. RefSeq lists it as uncharacterized. The transcript has 3 exons. The record is from RefSeq and is a predicted model, not a curated record. Lineage: Eukaryota; Metazoa; Chordata; Mammalia; Carnivora; Felidae.